UCUGAUAGAGGCAGUUCAGCAGAGAGGCCCCGAGGGUGGAGGAGCUUUCAUGCAUGAGAAACUGGGUGAAACUGGGCACGGGGCUGGGGCUGUGCCUUUUAACCCUCCUGCUGCUCUGGAGAGUGCAGCUCUGCCCCAGCUGGAGCUGGGCUCUGCUGACAGGGGACAGGAGGAGAGGAAAUGGCCUCGAGCUAUGCCAGGAGAGGUUCAGCUUGGAUUUGGGAAGAUUCCCCUAUGGAAACAGCAGUCCAGGCCUGAGCAGGGGUGGAGACCCCAUCCCCGGGGGGAUUCAGCAGCUUGUGGCACCUGGGGACAGGGGUCAGUGGUGGCCUUGGCAGUUGGACUUGGUGCUCUCGGGGCUUUCCCAGCCCAGGUGGUUCCAGGGUUCUGUGAAAUGCUGCUACAGCCCCUCCCUGACCUCCGCUCUGGCCCCAGUGAGCCCAGCCUGCAAACCCCAGUAACCUCCCCGGGUUUGUUUGAUCUCAUCUUCUUCUCCUGAAAGCUUUGAGUCCUGCAUGGCCUCCUGAGCAAACAGAUUCCAUGGCCUGGGACUGUUUGUUUGGAUUAAAAAAACACCAGCACGACUGAGAUGGCAUUGCAGGGUUGGAGCUGUUUGGGUUUCACGUGCUUCCCUUCCCAUCUGGAGAGGACUUUCAUCCCGUUCCUAAGCUUUUUUACCAGCAGACAGAAGGACUUUGUUGCUG
This is a long non-coding RNA of Serinus canaria (Common canary), 704 nucleotides long. RefSeq lists it as uncharacterized. NCBI's taxonomy places the organism in Eukaryota, Metazoa, Chordata, Aves, Passeriformes, Fringillidae. The transcript has 3 exons. The record is from RefSeq and is a predicted model, not a curated record.